RNAcentral lists this non-coding RNA (808 nucleotides) under Macrotermes vitrialatus. Lineage: Eukaryota; Metazoa; Arthropoda; Insecta; Blattodea; Termitidae. The record is from RNAcentral.
UAGAAGUUUUAUUCUUGCUUUUCCAUUCAGUUUUUGGAUGUUUUAUAUGUGAGUUUUUGCGUGGAUUUCCUUGGUGCUUUCUAGAUGGGGCUUAAUGGGUUUGGUUAAUUAUUUUCAUUAGUUAUUAUUGGUUGAUCAAGUAUUUUUGUAUCUAGCGUUUCAUUUUAGUUUCGGUUAAAUUUUGUGCCAGCAGCCGCGGUUAUACUUUGGAGGCGUUUGAAUGUUUUUGGUUUGGUAGUUGUAUGUUUAUAGGUUGAUUUUCUUUUAUGUUUGUUUGUUGGGUGAAAUUUUUAUUUUCUUUGGGGAUUUAUUUGUUUUUUGGAAGCUAUUAAACUCUUAUUUUAGACUAGGAUUAGAUACCCUAUUAUUUUUGAGUGUUAAGUUUUGUGCCUGAGUAGUAUUAGUUAUGUUCUUGAAACUUAAAGAAUUUGGCGGUAUCUUAUUCCAUUCAGAGGAAUCUGUCUCGUUAUCGAUAGUCCGCGUUGGACCUUGCUUAAGACCAUUGGUUUGUAUACCGCCGUUUAUUGAUUAUCUUUUUAGGGGUUUAAUUUUCUUGUUUCUUUAUUUUGAUUUAUUUCAGGUCAAGGUGCAGCUUUUUUUGAGUGUUUUGAUGGAUUACAGUUUUAUUUGUUUUUGGAUUAUGUGUUUUAAUACGUGUAUGAAAUUGGAUUUGGUUGUAAUGUUUUGUAGAUUGUUUUCGUGAUAAUUGGUUCUGAGAUAUGUACACAUCGCCCGUCGCUCUCGCUUGUAAUGUUAGUGAGAUAAGUCGUAACAAAGUGGCUGUACCGGAAGGUGUGGCUGGAAUGAU